CGCUGCGGAUUCCCCAGUAAACACCAGAGGGCGCUCGUCACUAGUCACUCGCUGCAAAGACAGCGGGUGUUGUAGUUUUACCGGCGAUUUGGCGCGUCGGAGCUAUAAAGCAGCUUCGUGAAGGAACGCGCCUCAUGUUCAGCUGGAUCUCGGGCUGCACACCGACAGCUUGUGUGUCUCUGCCGCCUGAAACUGCUGAUACUUCUUUCCAAGAGAGGACUCGGAUGGCGACGAGACUCUUGGCUGUUGUGACUCUAUGCUGGAUAAAUGGCGCGAAUGCAGCGCUUCACUCUCUCACCUUUAUUCACACUGGAUCAACUGACAUUCCAAACUUACCAGAGUAUGUGGAGGUUGGUUUGGUGGACGAUGUUCCGUUCCUUCACUAUGACAGCGACCGCAAGAGAGUAGAACCCAGACAGGACUGGAUGAUGCGACUCACAGCUGAUGACCCAUCAUAUUUGGAGAGAGAAACACAGAGGAACUUGAAUAACCAGAAGAUCAUGAUGAACAACAUCAGAGCUAAAGGUGUCAACAUUAUUCAGAGGAUAAUCAGCUGUGAGUGGAACGAUGAGACUGGAGAGGUCAGAGGUCAUUCGCGGUACGCUUAUGACGGAGAAGACUUUCUAUCGUUCAACCAGAAGACUCUGACAUGGGACGCUGCGAGUCCACAGGCUGUGAGCACCAAACACAUGUGGGACAACGAUGGUUAUACCAAAUACAUGCAGCACUACCUGACCCAGGUGUGUCCUGAGUUCCUGAAGACACUGCUGCACUACGGGAAGAGCUUCCUCCUGAGAACAGAGCUCCCCUCAGUGUCUCUCCUCCAGAAGACUCCCUCCUCCCCCAUCGUCUGCCAUGCUACAGGCUUCUACCCUCCAAGAGCCAUGAUGUUCUGGACCAAAGAUGGAGAGGAGCUUCACAAAGAUGUUAAAAUCGGAGAAGUCCUCCCCAACCUUGAUGGAACCUUCCAGAUGAUGGCUGAGCUGAAGCUGUCAGACCCGUCUGAAGCCUGGGAGAGGUACACCUGUGUGUUCCAGAUCGGCGACGUUAACCACCGAACCACCAAGAUCACCAAGCUGGAGAAGGAGGCCAUUUUAACCAACUGGGAGCCGGAACAAGCCGUCACCAACACUGUCUCAGCGUCUGCUCUGGUUGUCGUCGCUGCUGCUGCUGCUGCUGUUGCUGCCGUUGCUGCUGUAGCUGCUGCUGCUGUUACUGCUGCUGGUGGACUGGUCAAUUGCAGAACAGGAGGUGAGCAGACAGGAGCAGGCUUCGGUCGUCAGGAGAAACAAUGUUCCACCACAUGCUUCAAGGCUUCACAUGUGGAACUCAAAGGUCCAUCAAAUGUUGUGAUGUUUCAAGCUGUUGUUGACUUUUUCAGGCUCAAGUCCAGAACCCUGUGAGUCAAUCUUCUCUGGUCUGCUGACAUCAUCAAACGUGCCUCUCAUGAUGAGGAUGUGAGUUGAGAGUGAUAUUGAUGUUUCAGCCCUCGACACCUCGGAUGGACUUCUGCAGCCAGUGGGAGCCCCCGCUGAAGAUCCAGCCCCCGGUGAGAGUCCCAUUCUUCAGGAGUCCAGAGGAGAGACGCUGCUGUGACUCUCCUGUGAGCCAGUGUGAAGAUGAGUGCAGGCAGGGUGGAGUACCUGGAGGAGUGUCAGAGUGAGAAGUAGAGGGAGUCAUGGGGUCUGGUAGGAGGAGUCAAAGUGAGAGAAACUAUGAUGGGAUAUAUGAGGAGAAGAAGAGUGAGGAUGGAGUCAUGGCUUUUUCUCUGAAGGUAUCACUCCUGCUUCCUGAAGAUGAUUGAGCUGGGGGCCGAGAGGACACCUGUGAGUCAGAUGCCGAGUUGUUCACGAGUCAGAGUCACCAACAAGAUGACUCCCUGUGUUCUUGUCUGGUGUGGCACUGUGAUGAGCAGCAGAGCUGCAUCACAUCAACACUCGGUUCCUCCUCUUCAACAUCCAGUGGCACGAGCUUGUGAGCGCCACCCUGUGGUUCUGACCCAGUGCUUCUGAUCAGGAACCAUCAUUGUGGUGCAGCGAGUGGAAAUGGUUGUGUUUAUAUUCUGAGCAGAGUCGGUAUCAAGAGAGUUGCAGCAGUGAUGACUGUCAUAUUCUACACCUCCAAACAUGUCAUGUGACAGGAGGAGCAGACAAGAGGAGAGCAGGAUGUGAAGGAGGGCCAUGUGAUGGAGAAGCAGUGAUCUGAUCUGGAUGACUGAGAUGAAACUGUUUCCCGUGAAGUGGUUUUGUGGAGCCAGUGGUUGCUGUGGAGAUCACUAUUAUGGGAUGGAUUAGAGAGCUGAGAGGAUGGACGUGCAGGAAGUGACAGAGAAUGAGCAGAGGGGAGGUGGACCUGCUGUAGUGACCCUGAGAAAGAGAAGCUGGAGAACAUUGGAACUCCAUGUUCCCAGUGGUUCUUCAGCCUGUGUCUGGAGAAGGAGCUCACACUGUCUCUGAUGUUCCAGCCAAGUCUUCAGACACGCCGGUGGAAGUCCAGGAUGAAGAGCCUGCCAUUGUGUGAACUCAUGUGGCAGGAGAAGAAGAGUGGAGAUGGAGUUCUUCUGUCAAAGUCACCAGGAUUGGAUUUGAGCGCCGCAGCUGUUGGAACAAUCCAUGAGUCAGCGAUUUUUGCGUCUCUGCGCUUCCUUCUCUUUCUUACACACACACACAUACAGGGUCAAAGCCACAAAAAGUUAGCAACUGUCUUUAUUGAACAUCUAUUUUUAGUUGUCUGUGAACAUUGUCUCUGUUUUGUGAUGGAGAUUUGUUCAUAGCUGUUGUGACAGAACAACAUUGUAAAAGAUUCAUGGAUGAAAAUUAAA
Synchiropus splendidus (mandarinfish) is the source of this 2821-nucleotide RNA transcript. It is a transcript of the gene named major histocompatibility complex class I-related gene protein-like, with no coding region annotated. The record is from RefSeq and is a predicted model, not a curated record. NCBI's taxonomy places the organism in Eukaryota, Metazoa, Chordata, Actinopteri, Syngnathiformes, Callionymidae. The transcript has 7 exons.